Prinia subflava (tawny-flanked prinia) is the source of this 3964-nucleotide RNA transcript. It is a transcript of the gene named mitochondrial calcium uptake family member 3, with no coding region annotated. Lineage: Eukaryota; Metazoa; Chordata; Aves; Passeriformes; Cisticolidae. The record is from RefSeq and is a predicted model, not a curated record. The transcript is spliced from 16 exons.
CUCGGUGCGCCGGGCGCUGGGGCGGAGCGGGCCAUGGCCGCCCUGCGCUCCCUGCUGCGGUGGCGCCGCCGCCUGGGGCCCGCGCCCGGCGCUCCGCCCGCCCGGCGGCUGUGGGGCGGCGGCGGCGGCGGCGGGGCCGGGGCGGCGGGGCCGCGGCGGUGGCGGCGGGAGCUGGGCUGGGCGGCGGCGGCGGGGGCGGCUCUCGCCGGGUUCGCGGGGUACCGGCUGUCCGAGCGGCGGUGGGAGCCUUCCCGGGAGCCUUCCCGGGAGCCGGCGGCCGCCGAGCCGGGCGGGGCCCGGGCGCUGCUCCCCAUCCCCGUGGCGGCCGCCGCCAAGGAGACGGUGACGGUUACAGAAAACAGAUCAGACCUCGAAGAUUUACACCUUUAUGCAACUCCGCGGGAGCAACGGUUUCGUAGGUUUGCCAGUCUAGAAUUUGAAGGACAGCUGUACAUGACUCCCUAUGACUUCAUCCAGUCUGUUACAAGUGAUGAACCCAAACAUGCUAAAAAGUGGCGAUCCCUUUCAAAGCAGGAACUGAAUCAGAUCCUUAUGGAGACACCACCGGUUUGGAAAGGAUCAUCCAAACUUUUCCGUAACCUUAAUGAGAAAGGCGUGAUAUCUUACACAGAAUAUUUAUUCCUCUUAUGUAUUUUAACAAAGCCACAUGCAGGUUUUCGAAUUGCUUUCAACAUGUUCGAUACUGAUGGCAACGAAAUGGUGGACAAAAAGGAAUUCUUAGUGCUCCAAGAGAUCUUCAGGAAAAAAAAGGAGAAGAGAGAAAAAAGAGGAGAUGAAGAAAAACGUGCAAUGCUGCGUCUUCAACUUUAUGGAUAUCAUACUCCUACUAACAGUGUUCUUAAAACAGAAGGAGAGGACCUUGUCCCCAGAAGCUAUUGGGAUACUUUGAGACGUAGCACAAGCCAAGCACUCUUUUCAGACCUAGCGGAGCGUGCUGAUGACAUUUCAAGUUCACUAUCAGAUACUACACUGCUUGUACACUUUUUUGGCAAGAAAGGAAAAGCUGAACUGAACUUUGAAGAUUUUUAUAGAUUUAUGGAUAACCUGCAAACUGAGGUUCUAGAGAUAGAAUUCCUUUCCUACUCUAAUGGGAUGAACACUAUCAGUGAGGAAGACUUUGCCCAUAUUCUCUUGAGGUAUACAAAUGUGGAAAAUACAUCAAGUUACCUGGAAAACAUGCGCUGCAGUAUUCCUGAAGAAAAGGGUAUCACAUUUGAAGAAUUUAGAUCAUUUUUUCAAUUCUUGAACAAUCUAGAAGACUUUACAAUUGCAAUGCAAAUGUAUAAUUUUGCAAGUCGUUCCAUAGGUCAAGAUGAAUUCAAGCGUGCUGUGUAUGUAGCCACAGGUGUGAAGCUCUCACCACACUUGGUGAACACAGUGUUCAAGAUUUUUGAUGUCGAUAGAGAUGACCAGUUGAGUUAUAAAGAAUUUAUUGGCAUCAUGAAAGACAGACUCAAUCGAGGGUUUAGGGGCUACAAACCCAUACAGAGGUACACUACUUUCAAAUCCUGCGUGAGGAAGGAGCUCUAUAGCAGAUAAAUGACGGUGAACUUUUUAGUACAAUGUCAAUACAAAGAAUCAAGGAACGAAUCUAGAGAGGGAGCUGGACAUACCUGAAUAAAGACGAAAUACUUUCUUGCAUCUUUUAAUAUAAAUAGGCUAUUUGUUGAAUGCUGUGUGCUGUGAGGAGACUCCGAAGUAUGGCUGGAAGGAAUAUUACUCGUGUGUGAUGACUGUAACCAGUGAGCAUCUCAGAGAUCUGUGGAAGCAAUUUUGGAGACAAGAUAUGCUGAGAUAAAGGAAGAAAGCAGGAUUAUCUGCACGGGCGAGAAUUAUUUAUUCCCAUGAAUUCCUAAUGAAGAACAAACUAACCCAGGUGAAUGGUGAAUCUUCCAGCUGCAGCAGAAAACACAGGACUUCUUUUCCACUUAGAGUAGUGAUCAUCAACUCUUAAAACUGCUUUUCAGUAUGUAUUUUAUUUAAUUGAUGAACUAACUAUGCCAUGUGGGUGGGACAAGCCUUCUUUUGUAAGAACACCUUUUGAAUAUUAUUUUUUUAUUAUUUUGAGAUAAAUUUGUCAUUUCAAAGGAAACAAAAACAAGUCUUACACCUGGCCAGGAAGAUGUUUGGCAGUGAAAUGAAACUGCCUGCAUCAGCUUAGACUGUGAAUUUACUUUCAGAAGAGCACUGUUAAAAGUUGUGCUAAACUGAAAAUGAGACUACAUUAAGUAGCAUAACAAUUACAUACGAGUUGAGUGGACAAAUUAAACUCUUAGAGGCUGUUAUUUUACAAAGAGUAAACUGCUACGGUUAUAAUGUGAAUGAUAGGUAUUUACCUAGGAAAAGUACUGUAUGAACUAUGAUGUUCAGAUUCUCCAAGUCUUAUUAUUAUUUUUAUGAAUUUAUCUUUUAAAAAAUAGUACAGAUUUUAAGAUGUCUUACAAGGAGUAUGUCAAAAAAAAGUCAAAAUGUUCAAUUUCAUGUAACAUACACUUUGUAAUAUUUAUUAUAAAUUUUAUUGCCAUACACUGGUAUGUUUCUUGUAGAGUACAAAUUCAUGUGUUUCUUGUAAAUAGUGCACUUUUAGAUGAAGUGGCACUGAAUAGAAAUUAUAGUUGUCUAAUUUGCUACUCUGGAAUGCUCUGUCUGAAAACUAGAUCAAUAGCUUGUGUUUGUGUCAAACAAAAAAACAAAACAAAAGAUGAAGGCAUGCGUAGUACAGAACAACACUAAGUAAUAUUUGAAUAUUACUUGUUUGCUAUUCAGCAACAGCAUUUUUCCUUGCUCCCUAUUAAGAUUAUUGUUAGGUAGUAGGAAUUAAAUCCACACAAACAAGAACACAUAUUUUUUACACCCUUCUUGAAAGGGUUUACUGGACAUUGAAUAAGUCUGUUUAGGAAAAGACUGUGCCUUGAAAUAAUUCCAGCUGAAUACACACACACUUAAAUAAUGUCAAUAAACUGUCAUCGGAAGCAGAAAUAUUUGGUAGUCAGACAAUCAAAACAGAACUAAAACAAUGCUUUUAAAUAUCUUACUACUCCAAAUCAUAAAAGAAAACUUUUUAACAUUUAAUGAGUGCACGUUUCUCAAUUACCAUAUUAUAUGUCAUGUGAAUAGAUUUAUAUUAUCAUUGUAACAGUGCAUCUAAGUUUAGAAAUGCUUCAUUUAUAGUAAGAUAUAUCUCUGGUACAAGAAUCAAAACAAAAUGAGAAGAAAUCAUUUUUUUUAAGAAAUUCCACACUGGGAAUUGUAGAAAAAAUAUGUGCUAAAUGUGGCUUUUAUCUGAAAAAAACCCUCCAAACCCAAGCCAGUUCAGAAAACUAUCAAAGGAUGAUACAUCAAUUAACAUUUCACAAUAAAUAAAUUCAAAAUUUCCACCUUGGUGUCCUUAAACUAUUGACAGCAAUAAAUAAAUAGAGAUAAAGGUUCUUGAAUUGACACAGCAGAACAUAGAUAAGCUGCAACCCCUGUGUGAUCAUUUAGGGAAUCAACUGUAUUCAAUGUAUCAUCUCGGUACCCAGAACUGUCUCACUGCUUCUUGUCAGCAUAUGCAAAACCCACUUUGUUACUUCAGUGACGAAGGGCAAAGAAAAGAGAAGAAAAUACUGGGAGUCACUGAAAGGGUUCCCAUCCUUACUUUUCACUCAUGACUGCCCACUCACAGUGAUCCUCCCCUUGGAGGAAGCAGCAGUACCAUCAUCAUUUUGCUCCUCCACUGCCCUAGGCAACAGUGCACUUUGCUUUUAUGGCUGGCCUGAGGCAAUUUUAGCAUUUUUCUAUGUAUUUCCUAUCUAUACUUACUUAAUAUAAAAUAGAAUGUGAAAGUGUCAGAUUAGUUUUUAAGACUAUUUUUUCUUCAUGUUUAAUAAUAUUAUUUAAUAUAAAUAUGAAUGAAUACAUAUAAUAUUAUUGUUUAUUUCAAAAUAAAUGCACUUGAAACUAA